GACGAACGCUGGCGGCGUGCUUAACACAUGCAAGUCGAACGAAAAUACCAAGCUUGCUUGGUUGAUUAGUGGCGAACGGGUGAGUAACACGUGAGUAACCUGCCCCUUACUUUCUGGAUAACUGCUCGAAAGGGUAGCUAAUACGGGAUAUUCUGACCAUCCUGCAUGGGUUGGUUUGGAAAGGUUUUUUCUGGUGAGGGAUGGGCUCGCGGCCUAUCAGCUUGUUGGUGGGGUGAUGGCCUACCAAGGCUUUGACGGGUAGCCGGCCUGAGAGGGUGGACGGUCACACUGGGACUGAGAUACGGCCCAGACUCCUACGGGAGGCAGCAGUGGGGAAUAUUGCACAAUGGGCGCAAGCCUGAUGCAGCGACGCCGCGUGAGGGAUGAAGGCCUUCGGGUUGUAAACCUCUUUCGUCAGGGAACAAGGCACUACGUUUUGGUGGUGUUGAGGGUACCUGGAUAAGAAGCGCCGGCUAACUACGUGCCAGCAGCCGCGGUAAUACGUAGGGCGCAAGCGUUGUCCGGAAUUAUUGGGCGUAAAGAGCUCGUAGGCGGCUGGUCGCGUCUGUCGUGAAAACUUCCGGCUCAACCGGGGGCUUGCGGUGGGUACGGGCCGGCUAGAGUGCGGUAGGGGUAACUGGAACUCCUGGUGUAGCGGUGGAAUGCGCAGAUAUCAGGAAGAACACCGAUGGCGAAGGCAGGUUACUGGGCCGUUACUGACGCUGAGGAGCGAAAGCGUGGGGAGCGAACAGG
Molecule: ribosomal RNA, 753 nt
Filed under: uncultured Actinomyces sp.
Lineage: Bacteria; Bacillati; Actinomycetota; Actinomycetes; Actinomycetales; Actinomycetaceae
Description: bacterial SSU rRNA
Rfam family: Bacterial small subunit ribosomal RNA
Source: RNAcentral